RNAcentral lists this ribosomal RNA (253 nucleotides) under uncultured bacterium. Its description in RNAcentral is "partial 16S ribosomal RNA". It matches the Rfam family "Bacterial small subunit ribosomal RNA", at positions 524 to 776 of the family's 1533-position model. The record is from RNAcentral.
GACGAACCGUGCGAACGUUGUUCGGAAUCACUGGGCUUAAAGGGCGCGUAGGCGGGUUGCCAAGUCUGUGGUGAAAUCCUCCAGCUUAACUGGAGAACUGCCGUGGAUACUGGCGAUCUUGAGGGAGAUAGGGGCGUGCGGAACUGUGCGUGGAGCGGUGAAAUGCGUUGAUAUGCACAGGAACUCCGGUGGCGAAGGCGGCACGCUGGAUCUCUUCUGACGCUGAGGCGCGAAAGCUAGGGUAGCGAACGGG